CUGAACUGUCAUAGUCAGGCCUCUGUGGUCAAAGACAAUCCUAACCAGUUCAGAGUCUUCCAAGCUCAGCCUCAGACAGAGUAAAUGAAUAGCUCUUAAGGUUCUAGACGAGGGGUUGUGAUCCUGCUGAAUAGGGGGAGGGGUUCAUCAAAUGAGCCAUAAAACUUUGGGAGACUCUGGGAGAUGAUACUGCAAAGAAGCAUGCCUCAGGUGCCCAGGACAUACCUGAAAAUCCCUGUGGUCCAUACUGAAGGAAAAACAAGUCAAGAGUUGCUUCUGGCUGUAUAUAAAAUUGGAAGAAAAGAAAGCUGAGAAAGUUCCAGAAAUGAGCCGUAACCUGAGAAAGUUCCAGAGAUGAGCCGUAACCUGAGAAAGUUCCAGAGAUGAGCCGUAAGCACUGUAGUCCUAUCAGAUCUGGGUGGCCCCCGAUUUAGUGAUCUUGACAGUUUUAAUGAGCGCUGUCACAAUUUUCUCUGU
Long non-coding RNA from Mastomys coucha (southern multimammate mouse), 477 nucleotides. RefSeq lists it as uncharacterized. The transcript is spliced from 2 exons. Lineage: Eukaryota; Metazoa; Chordata; Mammalia; Rodentia; Muridae. The record is from RefSeq and is a predicted model, not a curated record.